GAGAAAUUUGAUGUGGAAAUCAAUAAUGAGUUUUGCAAGUCAAGGAUUUGUCAGUUCAUCUGGACUACACAUAUCUUUUAAUAAAAGAACAGCUCAACCAAGUAUGGAUAACAUGGUCGCGUUAGGAAAUUUUUUUAAAAGAUGGAUUAGACUCGACUAAUUGCUCGGACUUAGGAAAGUAUAGAAAGGAGUUGCAUCAUAAUUUUUUAGCAAGCUCGUUCAUCAUGGGCCGAUGAAAUUCCUAGAACUUGUCAAUUCAAAGUGAUUAUAUUCAUGAUGGAGUAUGUUAUUUACUCUUGGAGAAUUGUUAAAGCCUGCCAACUUCUUUCAAGUAUCGUAAUAAAGAGCUGAGACCUUUAGUGUCUCUAUUUGGACGAGACUCAAAUUUUCUUUUAACCAAGUGAUUGGGAUUUAUGAUCCCUCGAUAAGGAGAGUCUUGGAGAGCAAAGCGCAUUUUUUUAUCUGACAUGCUAUGGAGGCCAAGGUGAGAGUACUCCUUUUGUGACAUGUGGGCAUGCAGUGAGCUCUUAUGUGAUUGAAAGUGAAGUCUAAAUGUAUUUUGUGGUCUGCAUACUGAAUAUAUGCAACAUAUGUUCUUGCUCUGCCCAUUUGCUUCAGGUUUGGACUUCGUUUCAACUAUGCACGAGGGAUCUAGUGACAGGUCAAGCACAGUUUAUGAUAUAUUCUAAAAGGCUGUUGAGCGAAAAUUCAGCCAGCAACUUAAAGUUGUUUGGAAAAUGGUGAUAAUUUUCAACCUAGCAAAGCUCAAUGCAUCAAUCCGGACACCUGGUAGCCCUUGCUAUUGGGCUAGAUCAGAUUGAACAUUGAUGAGGCCAUAUCUACGAUGCAGUGGGGCACUUUCUAAACUGAAGAGGAUUUAUUACGGGCUGCCUCGUAGCUCCCUUGUACCAUCAGGGGUCAUAUAUUGUAGAUUUGUAUGCUCUUAUGUUUGAUGUUUAGUAUGCUUGAGACAAGGGAUGGUUAAACCUAUGGUUGGAGAGUGACUCGAUCUAUGUGGUUAAGCUUCUUAACUCAAAGGAAACCUUGGUGCAAUGGGUCAUUUGUUCAAAAUGGUUGAGGUUCUUGCAUCGUGUGGAUCGUAUAAACUUUCGUGUCUCACACAUAUAUCAGGAAGGCAACAUGGUGGCUGAUGAUGCGUAGAAAUUGUGAUAGAAUAUCACUUUUCACUCAAAUAAACAAACUUUCAUAAAUCUCACAACAUAUAUUUCAUACAAUAGAGCUAUUUUCUUUCAACAACUCCCUUAUACAAACCUUAGAAUUUC
Molecule: long non-coding RNA, 1283 nt
Filed under: Olea europaea subsp. europaea
Lineage: Eukaryota; Viridiplantae; Streptophyta; Magnoliopsida; Lamiales; Oleaceae
Source: RNAcentral